GCCAUUGGGGGGUGCUAAUACAUGCAAGUCGAGCGAACAGAUAAGGAGCUUGCUCCUUUGACGUUAGCGGCGGACGGGUGAGUAACACGUGGGUAACCUACCUAUAAGACUGGGAUAACUUCGGGAAACCGGAGCUAAUACCGGAUAACAUUUGGAACCGCAUGGUUCUAAAGUGAAAGAUGGUUUUGCUAUCACUUAUAGAUGGACCCGCGCCGUAUUAGCUAGUUGGUAAGGUAACGGCUUACCAAGGCGACGAUACGUAGCCGACCUGAGAGGGUGAUCGGCCACACUGGAACUGAGACACGGUCCAGACUCCUACGGGAGGCAGCAGUAGGGAAUCUUCCGCAAUGGGCGAAAGCCUGACGGAGCAACGCCGCGUGAGUGAUGAAGGGUUUCGGCUCGUAAAACUCUGUUAUUAGGGAAGAACAAACGUGUAAGUAACUGUGCACGUCUUGACGGUACCUAAUCAGAAAGCCACGGCUAACUACGUGCCAGCAGCCGCGGUAAUACGUAGGUGGCAAGCGUUAUCCGGAAUUAUUGGGCGUAAAGCGCGCGUAGGCGGUUUCUUAAGUCUGAUGUGAAAGCCCACGGCUCAACCGUGGAGGGUCAUUGGAAACUGGGAAACUUGAGUGCAGAAGAGGAAAGUGGAAUUCCAUGUGUAGCGGUGAAAUGCGCAGAGAUAUGGAGGAACACCAGUGGCGAAGGCGACUUUCUGGUCUGUAACUGACGCUGAUGUGCGAAAGCGUGGGGAUCAAACAGGAUUAGAUACCCUGGUAGUCCACGCCGUAAACGAUGAGUGCUAAGUGUUAGGGGGUUUCCGCCCCUUAGUGCUGCAGCUAACGCAUUAAGCACUCCGCCUGGGGAGUACGACCGCAAGGUUGAAACUCAAAGGAAUUGACGGGGACCCGCACAAGCGGUGGAGCAUGUGGUUUAAUUCGAAGCAACGCGAAGAACCUUACCAAAUCUUGACAUCCUUUGAAAACUCUAGAGAUAGAGCCUUCCCCUUCGGGGGACAAAGUGACAGGUGGUGCAUGGUUGUCGUCAGCUCGUGUCGUGAGAUGUUGGGUUAAGUCCCGCAACGAGCGCAACCCUUAAGCUUAGUUGCCAUCAUUAAGUUGGGCACUCUAGGUUGACUGCCGGUGACAAACCGGAGGAAGGUGGGGAUGACGUCAAAUCAUCAUGCCCCUUAUGAUUUGGGCUACACACGUGCUACAAUGGACAAUACAAAGGGCAGCUAAACCGCGAGGUCAUGCAAAUCCCAUAAAGUUGUUCUCAGUUCGGAUUGUAGUCUGCAACUCGACUACAUGAAGCUGGAAUCGCUAGUAAUCGUAGAUCAGCAUGCUACGGUGAAUACGUUCCCGGGUCUUGUACACACCGCCCGUCACACCACGAGAGUUUGUAACACCCGAAGCCGGUGGAGUAACCAUUUAUGGAGCUAGCCGUCGAAGGUGAACCAAAAAGGG
This 1463-nucleotide ribosomal RNA is filed under the name uncultured Staphylococcus sp. Its description in RNAcentral is "bacterial SSU rRNA". It matches the Rfam family "Bacterial small subunit ribosomal RNA". Lineage: Bacteria; Bacillati; Bacillota; Bacilli; Caryophanales; Staphylococcaceae. The record is from RNAcentral.